RNAcentral lists this ribosomal RNA (1200 nucleotides) under Neomegamelanus elongatus. Its description in RNAcentral is "SSU rRNA". It matches the Rfam family "Eukaryotic small subunit ribosomal RNA", at positions 652 to 1773 of the family's 1831-position model. The record is from RNAcentral. Lineage: Eukaryota; Metazoa; Arthropoda; Insecta; Hemiptera; Delphacidae.
CUGUGUCCUUCGACGCCGGUUCACCGCCUGUCGGUGCCAACUGGCGUUUUGCGGGACGUCCUGUCGGUGGUGUGUCAGGAAUCUUGGUUGUGCUAUGCUCUGCUUAGUGCAGCUCUGGUUUCGGGCCACUUUCAUAAUCCCGCCGCGGUGCUCUUAAUCGAGUGUCGAGGCGGGCCGGCACGUUUACUUUGAACAAAUUAGAGUGCUUCAAGCAGGCUUGUCACGCCUGUAUACUGUGUGCAUGGAAUAAUGGAAUAGGACCUCGGUUCUAUUUUGUUGGUUUCCGGAAUCUGAGGUAAUGAUCAAUGGGGACAGGCGGGGGCAUUCGUAUUGCGACGUUAGAGGUGAAAUUCUUGGAUCGUCGCAAGACGGACCGAAGCGAAAGCAUUUGCCAAGUAUGUUCCCGUCGAUCAAGAACGAAAGUUAGAGGUUCGAAGGCGAUCAGAUACCGCCCUAGUUCUAACCAUAAACAAUGCCUGCCAGCGAUCCGCCGGCGUCCCUCCGAUGACCCGGCGGGCAGCUUCCGGGAAACCAGAGCUUUUGGGUUCCGGGGGAAGUAUGGUUGCAAAGCUGAAACUUAAAGGAAUUGACGGAAGGGCACCACCAGGAGUGGAGCCUGCGGCUUAAUUUGACUCAACACGGGAAAACUCACCAGGCCCGGACACCGGAAGGAUUGACAGAUUGAUAGCUCUUUCUUGAUUCGGUGGGUGGUGGUGCAUGGCCGUUCUUAGUUGGUGGAGCGAUUUGUCUGGUUAAUUCCGAUAACGAACGAGACUCUAGCCUACUAAAUAGACGUAUCUGGUAUCAGCAAUCGUGCUACCAGCGAUCAUAUCUCUUCUUAGAGGGACAGGCGGCUUCUAGCCGCACGAGACUGAGCAAUAACAGGUCUGUGAUGCCCUUAGAUGUCCUGGGCCGCACGCGCGCUACACUGAAGGAAUCAGCGUGUCUUCCCUGUCCGAAAGGACCGGGUAACCCGCUGAACCUCCUUCGUGCUUGGGAUUGGGGCUUGCAAUUGUUCCCCAUGAACGAGGAAUUCCCAGUAAGCGCGAGUCAUAAGCUCGCGUUGAUUACGUCCCUGCCCUUUGUACACACCGCCCGUCGCUACUACCGAUUGAAUGAUUUAGUGAGGUCUUCGGACCGGUGCGCGGAGGCGGUUUUCCGCUCCCGAUGUUGUCGGAAAGAUGACCAAACUUGAUCAUU